Mus musculus (house mouse) is the source of this 425-nucleotide long non-coding RNA. RefSeq annotates it as predicted gene, 32729. The record is from RefSeq and is a predicted model, not a curated record. The transcript has 3 exons. NCBI's taxonomy places the organism in Eukaryota, Metazoa, Chordata, Mammalia, Rodentia, Muridae.
ACUAAAGAAACUUCGUAUGUACCUCUUAUGCCCCCCAAAUAAUUUUAGAGUACGGAACAAUUUUAUAGUUCGUAUGGGCCUUUCUGAAAUUAAACUGACAAGAGGAAAGCAUGAACUGACAUAAGAAAUAUGAACAGGAGAAUUUAACACAGCAUCAGACCUCUCCUGAAGAAAUAGGGUAACAAAGCCCCAGGGUUUGAUAUGACGUCGAGCAAAGAUAGAAUACUAUGUUUACAGAGUCAAUACAUCAUGUAUGCCAAUGAGCAGAAGUGAAGCAUGCUUCUUCCACACAUUGUUUGACAUGAAAAAUGAAUAGAAUCAGCACUCCAUGGCUCUUUCAGAAAAUACCCACUUAACUCUCAAGAAUAGCCCUAUAAAAGGACGCUUAUCAAACUCUCUAGAAUAAAAUCAGUUCUAAAUAUGAA